Molecule: ribosomal RNA, 468 nt
Filed under: uncultured bacterium
Lineage: Bacteria
Description: partial 16S ribosomal RNA
Rfam family: Bacterial small subunit ribosomal RNA
Source: RNAcentral
GACGAACGCUGGCGGCGUGCUUAACACAUGCAAGUCGAACGGAAAGGCCCUGCUUUUGUGGGGUGCUCGAGUGGCGAAAGGGUGAGUAACAAGUGAGUAACCUGCCCUUGACUUUGGGAUAAAUUCAGGAAACUGGGGCUAAUACCGGAUAGGAGCUCCUGCUGCCAGGUGGGGGUUGGAAAGUUUCGGCGGGUGGGGAUGGACUCGCGGGUUAUCAGCUUGUUGGUGGGGUAGUGGCUUACCAAGGCGUUGACGGGUAGCCGGCCUGAGAGGGUGACCGGCCACAUUGGGACUGAGAUACGGCCCAGACUCCUACGGGAGGCAGCAGUGGGGAAUAUUGCACAAUGGGCGGAAGCCUGAUGCAGCAACGCCGCGUGCGGGAUGACGGCCUUCGGGUUGUAAACCGCUUUCGCCUGUGACGAAGCGUGAGUGACGGUAAUGGGUAAAGAAGCACCGGCUAACUACGUG